This 433-nucleotide ribosomal RNA is filed under the name uncultured bacterium. Its description in RNAcentral is "partial 16S ribosomal RNA". It matches the Rfam family "Bacterial small subunit ribosomal RNA", at positions 29 to 507 of the family's 1533-position model. The record is from RNAcentral.
AACGAACGCUGGCGGCAUGCCUAACACAUGCAAGUCGAACGAAACCUUCGGGUCUUUGUGCGCACGGCUUCGUAACGCGUGGGAACCUUCCCGUAGGUUCGGAAUAACUCCCCGAAAGGUGUGCUAAUACCGGAUAAGGUCUUCGGACCAAAGAUUUAUUGCCUUUGGAUGGGCCCGCGUUGGAUUAGCUAGUUGGUAGGGUAAAAGCCUACCAAGGGGACGAUCCAUAGCUGGUCGGGGAGGAUGAUCAGCCACACUGGGACUGAGACCCGGCCCAGAAUCGUACGGGAGGCGGCAGUGGGGAAUCUUGGACCGCGGGCGAAAGCAUGAGCAAGCACUGCCGCGUGAGUGAUGAAGGCCGGAGGGAUGUAAAGCUCUUUUAACCGGGAUGGUAAUGACAGUACCGGGAGAAUAAGCCACGGCUAACUACGUG